RNAcentral lists this ribosomal RNA (312 nucleotides) under uncultured fungus. RNAcentral's name for it is "SSU rRNA". It matches the Rfam family "Eukaryotic small subunit ribosomal RNA", at positions 1344 to 1680 of the family's 1831-position model. Lineage: Eukaryota; Fungi. The record is from RNAcentral.
UAACCUGCUAAAUAGGUGCGCGAGCCUUGGCUCGUUGUGCGUUCUUAGAGGGACAAACCACGUUUAGUGGUUGGAAGUUUGAGGCAAUAACAGGUCUGUGAUGCCCUUAGAUGUUCUGGGCCGCACGCGCGCUACACUGACACAGUCAGCGAGUUCUGCCUUGACCGAGAGGUCUGGGAAAUCUUGUGAAACUGUGUCGUGCUGGGGAUAGACCAUUGCAAUUAUUGGUCUUCAACGAGGAAUUCCUAGUAAGCGCAAGUCAUCAGCUUGCGUUGAUUACGUCCCUGCCCUUUGUACACACCGCCCGUCGUU